CCUACGGGUGGCAGCAGUGGGGGAUAUUGCACAAUGGGGGAAACCCUGAUGCAGCGACGCCGCGUGUGGGAAGACGGUUCUCUGGAUUGUAAACUAUAUUCACCAGGGACGAAGAGGACGGUACCUGGGGAGGAAGCUCCGGCUAACUACGUGCCAGCAGCCGCGGUAUAACGUAGGGAGCGACCGUUGUCCGGAAUUACUGGGUGUAAAGGGAGCGUAGGCGGGGAUGCAAGUUGAGGGUCAAAACUACCGGCUCAACUGGUAGUCGCACUCAAAACUGCAGCUCUUGAGUGAAGUAGAGGCAGGCGGAAUUCCUAGUGUAGCGGUGAAAUGCGUAGAUAUUAGGAGGAACACCAGUGGCGAAGGCGGCCUGCUGGGCUUUUACUGACGCUGAGGCUCGAAAGUGUGGGGAGCAAACAGGAUUAGAUACCCUUGUAGUC
RNAcentral lists this ribosomal RNA (440 nucleotides) under uncultured bacterium. Its description in RNAcentral is "partial 16S ribosomal RNA". It matches the Rfam family "Bacterial small subunit ribosomal RNA", at positions 338 to 795 of the family's 1533-position model. The record is from RNAcentral.